ACGAAGGGUGCAAGCGUUAGUCGGAAUUACUGGGCGUAAAGCGUGCGUAGGCGGUUUUCUAAGUCUGCCGUGAAAGCCCCGGGCUCAACCUGGGAAUGGCGGUGGAUACUGGAAAGCUGGAGUGCGGUAGAGGAGGGUGGAAUUCCCGGUGUAGCGGUGAAAUGCGUAGAUAUCUGGAGGAACACCGGUGGCGAAGGCGGCGUCCUGGACCAAUACUGACACUGAGGAGCGAAAGCCAGGGGAGCAAACGGGA
RNAcentral lists this ribosomal RNA (253 nucleotides) under uncultured prokaryote. RNAcentral describes it as "partial 16S ribosomal RNA". It matches the Rfam family "Bacterial small subunit ribosomal RNA", at positions 525 to 777 of the family's 1533-position model. The record is from RNAcentral.